RNAcentral lists this ribosomal RNA (505 nucleotides) under Scaphiophryne madagascariensis. RNAcentral's name for it is "partial 16S ribosomal RNA". It matches the Rfam family "Bacterial large subunit ribosomal RNA", at positions 1928 to 2597 of the family's 2925-position model. Lineage: Eukaryota; Metazoa; Chordata; Amphibia; Anura; Microhylidae. The record is from RNAcentral.
CGGCCGCGGUACCCUAACCGUGCGAAGGUAGCGCAAUCACUUGUUCUUUAAAUGAGGACUAGUAUGAAUGGCAUCACGAGGGUUAUACUGUCUCCCUCUUUUAAUCAGUGAAACUGAUCUUCCCGUGAAGAAGCGGGAAUACAUCUAUAAGACGAGAAGACCCCAUGGAGCUUUAAACUCAGUAUCAACUGCCCUCCCAAUAUAUCCACCUAAUUAAGCAGACAUGACUACUAGUUUUCGGUUGGGGUGACCGCGGAGCAAAACAAAACCUCCACGAUGAAAGGAAUUAACCUCCUAAUCAAAGAGCUACAUCUCUAAGAAUCAACAAAUUGACAUUUAUUGAUCCAAUUUUUUUGAUCAACGAACCAAGUUACCCUGGGGAUAACAGCGCAAUCCAUUUCAAGAGCCCCUAUCGACAAAUGGGUUUACGACCUCGAUGUUGGAUCAGGGUAUCCCAGUGGUGCAGCCGCUACUAAAGGUUCGUUUGUUCAACGAUUAAAACCCU